This 321-nucleotide small RNA is filed under the name Rattus norvegicus (Norway rat). Its description in RNAcentral is "uncharacterized LOC102551596". The record is from RNAcentral. Lineage: Eukaryota; Metazoa; Chordata; Mammalia; Rodentia; Muridae.
AGGCUGCACUGACAGUCACAAGGACCCAAAGAACUCAGGCAUCCUGUUUCCAAUCCCCCGAGCAUAUGUGGGAGCUUCAAGAUAUGCCACGCGCACAAGAGCCCACACAGAUAACAGCAUCAGACACUGCUAUCAUCCAAAGCUUGGGAUGGCGGACAGAGUAAGGAAUCCCAGAAUUGCACUGCACUGCCUGCCGGAGAGACUUUGCCCUUUGCCCCGUGAUGAGGUGUUAUGAUGGGCUGGAGAGCCAAGCAGCAGGGCCUCUGUGGUAAGCAGUUUCAUGGGUUGAAGGCUUUAAGAUUAAAAAAAAAAAAAAAAAAA